GUGGAUUAGAUACCCUGGUAGUCCACGCUGUAAACGGUGAGUGCUGGGUGUGGGAGGUGUAAUGCCUUCUGUGCCGAAGCUAACGCGUUAAGCACUCCGCCUGGGGAGUACGGCCGCAAGGUUGAAACUCAAAGGAAUUGACGGGGGCCCGCACAAGCGGUGGAGCAUGUGGUUUAAUUCGACGCAACGCGAAAAACCUUACCUGGGUUUGACAUGGAGAGAAUCCGGAUGAAAGUCUGGAGUGCCUCGUAAGAGGAGCUCUCACACAGGUGCUGCACGGCCGUCGUCAACU
RNAcentral lists this ribosomal RNA (292 nucleotides) under uncultured bacterium. Its description in RNAcentral is "partial 16S ribosomal RNA". It matches the Rfam family "Bacterial small subunit ribosomal RNA", at positions 773 to 1060 of the family's 1533-position model. The record is from RNAcentral.